GAUGAAGAACGUAGUGAAAUGCGAUAAGUAAUGUGAAUUGCAGAAUUCAGUGAAUCAUCGAAUCUUUGAACGCAUCUUGCGCUCCUUGGUAUUCUGAGGAGCAUGCCUGUUUGAGUGUCAUUAAAUUCUCAACUACACUGACUUUGAAUUGGUGUGGCUUGGAUUUGGGGGGAAAAUUGUUGUGGGCUUUUUGUAUAGUCUUCUCCCCUGAAAUUGAUUAGCGGUACCUUUGUGGAACUGUCUACAGGUGUGAUAAUUAUCUACAUCUUAGACAUCUGCUGGAAUGCUGCUUUCUAAACCUUACUUGUAUUGACAAUCUUGACCUCAAAUCAGGUAGGACUACCCGCUGAACUUAAGCAUAUCAAUAAGCGGAGGA
This 376-nucleotide unclassified non-coding RNA is filed under the name soil metagenome. Its description in RNAcentral is "partial contains 5.8S ribosomal RNA, internal transcribed spacer 2, and large subunit ribosomal RNA". The stretch from base 1 to 120 matches the Rfam family "5.8S ribosomal RNA", at positions 35 to 154 of the family's 154-position model. The record is from RNAcentral.